CCCUUCUCCCCUCCCCCAAGCCAGCACCUGGUGCCCCGGCGGGUCGUGCGGCGCGGCGCGGCGCUAGGCGGCCUCCAAGCCUUUGGGAGUAGCUUCUGAAGAUGAGUUGGUGGCUGAAUUCCUGCAGGACCAGAAUGCACCCCUUGUGUCCCGUGCCCCUCAGACCUUCAAGAUGGAUGACCUCCUGGCUGAGAUGCAGCAGAUUGAGCAGUCAAACUUCCGCCAGGCUCCCCAGAGAGCCCCUGGUGUGGCAGACUUGGCCUUGUCUGAGAACUGGGCCCAGGAGUUUCUUGCAGCUGGAGAUGCUGUGGAUGUAACUCAGGAUUAUAAUGAGACUGACUGGUCCCAAGAAUUCAUCUCUGAAGUUACAGGUAUGAUGAAUAUCAUUCUGAGGAGGAUCUGCAGCACACGGCCAGUGACUUUGUGGCCAAAGUGGAUGACCCCAAAUUGGCUAAUUCUGAGUUCCUGAAAUUCGUGCGGCAGAUUGGCGAAGGGCAGGUGUCCCUGGAGUCCGGUGCAGGGUCGGGCCGAGCUCAGGCAGAACAGUGGGCAGCAGAG
RNAcentral lists this small RNA (558 nucleotides) under Pan troglodytes (chimpanzee). Its description in RNAcentral is "processed transcript". The record is from RNAcentral. Lineage: Eukaryota; Metazoa; Chordata; Mammalia; Primates; Hominidae.